CAGCAGCCACGGUAAUACGAAGGGGGCUAGCGUUGUUCGGAUUUACUGGGCGUAAAGGGCGCGUAGGCGGACUGAUAAGUCAGGGGUGAAAUCCCGAGGCUCAACCUUGGAACUGCCUUUGAUACUGUUUGUCUUGAGUUCGAGAGAGGUAAGUGGAACUGCGAGUGUAGAGGUGAAAUUCGUAGAUAUUCGCAAGAACACCAGUGGCGAAGGCGGCUUACUGGCUCGAAACUGACGCUGAGGCGCGAAAGCGUGGGGAGCAAACAGGAUUAGAGACCCCAGUAGUCCCUGUCUCUUAUAC
This 301-nucleotide ribosomal RNA is filed under the name uncultured bacterium. Its description in RNAcentral is "partial 16S ribosomal RNA". It matches the Rfam family "Bacterial small subunit ribosomal RNA", at positions 509 to 807 of the family's 1533-position model. The record is from RNAcentral.